UGGGGAAUAUUGGACAAUGGGCGCAAGCCUGAUCCAGCCAUGCCGCGUGAGUGAUGAAGGCCUUAGGGUUGUAAAGCUCUUUCACCCACGACGAUAAUGACGGUAGUGGGAGAAGAAGCCCCGGCUAACUUCGUGCCAGCAGCCGCGGUAAUACGAAGGGGGCUAGCGUUGCUCGGAAUCACUGGGCGUAAAGGGCGCGUAGGCGGCCGAUCAAGUCAGGGGUGAAAGCCUGUGGCUCAACCACAGAAUUGCCUUUGAUACUGUUUGGCUCGAGACCGGAAGAGGUUGGUGGAACUGCGAGUGUAGAGGUGAAAUUCGUAGAUAUUCGCAAGAACACCAGUGGCGAAGGCGGCCAACUGGUCCGGUUCUGACGCUGAGGCGCGAAAGCGUGGGGAGCAAACAGG
Molecule: ribosomal RNA, 404 nt
Filed under: uncultured bacterium
Lineage: Bacteria
Description: bacterial SSU rRNA
Rfam family: Bacterial small subunit ribosomal RNA
Source: RNAcentral